RNAcentral lists this ribosomal RNA (504 nucleotides) under Pseudomonas sp. CL4.134. Its description in RNAcentral is "bacterial SSU rRNA". It matches the Rfam family "Bacterial small subunit ribosomal RNA", at positions 1 to 504 of the family's 1533-position model. Lineage: Bacteria; Pseudomonadati; Pseudomonadota; Gammaproteobacteria; Pseudomonadales; Pseudomonadaceae. The record is from RNAcentral.
UUGAGCUUGAUCCCUGGCUCAGAUUGAACGCUGGCGGCAGGCCUAACACAUGCAAGUCGAGCGGCAGCACGGGUACUUGUACCUGGUGGCGAGCGGCGGACGGGUGAGUAAUGCCUAGGAAUCUGCCUGGUAGUGGGGGAUAACGCUCGGAAACGGACGCUAAUACCGCAUACGUCCUACGGGAGAAAGCAGGGGACCUUCGGGCCUUGCGCUAUCAGAUGAGCCUAGGUCGGAUUAGCUAGUUGGUGAGGUAAUGGCUCACCAAGGCGACGAUCCGUAACUGGUCUGAGAGGAUGAUCAGUCACACUGGAACUGAGACACGGUCCAGACUCCUACGGGAGGCAGCAGUGGGGAAUAUUGGACAAUGGGCGAAAGCCUGAUCCAGCCAUGCCGCGUGUGUGAAGAAGGUCUUCGGAUUGUAAAGCACUUUAAGUUGGGAGGAAGGGCAGUUACCUAAUACGUAUCUGUUUUGACGUUACCGACAGAAUAAGCACCGCCAACUUC